Long non-coding RNA from Archocentrus centrarchus (flier cichlid), 1526 nucleotides. RefSeq lists it as uncharacterized. The transcript is spliced from 3 exons. The record is from RefSeq and is a predicted model, not a curated record. Lineage: Eukaryota; Metazoa; Chordata; Actinopteri; Cichliformes; Cichlidae.
GCGGGCUUUCCUCUGUCUUUCCGGCUGCGACUCCGAUGCUGAGCGAGCUGUUAAGGAAAAGGGAGACGGAGAUUCAGUGGAAAAAGAGCACAAAAAGCGAUAUAUAAGAGUCAGAGGUCGGAGGCGGCGCCAUUUUGUGUUGCGCUGUCCUCUCGUGAGAUCGGUCAGGUUUUUUUUCUUGCUUUGUUUUAUUUGUGAUGUGAUGGCGAGCCAAUCCCACAGACGAACCAGACAACUUCUUCCCGUGCUGCCCUGCACAGUGCGGUAGGCCAGCUGCGACAAGGAUCUCUGCCACACCAUUCUGCACCUGCUGCCCUCUUUCACACACACACACAUACACUGACGUUCCCCUGGACUUUUAGACGCUUUAAGGACUUCUACGGACUCAGCACACUCCCACAGGCGGGAAGCGGACCUGGUAUGGACAGAUUGGAAACACCCCUCCAAAAUAAGGUUCUGUUGCAUACAGCUGGUGAGAUCGAAGCAGUGUGAUAUUUGUUAUUGGAAUGGUUUUGUUUUGAACUAAAGCCUAAGUUGUGAAUUUAGAAGGGUGCACCCGGGAAAAUUUUGAAAGUGACUGUGAUUGUAAAAUGAUAUUACUGGUACCGAAGAGAAACUUUUAUUUAAAAUUUAUUUUAUUUGUUACAAUAUAUUUUCUUUAAAAUACACAAGCCGGCAACUUUUCAAAACCAUAACCUGUGUUCGAGUCUCAUUCUUUUCACACUUCCUUCCUGUAGCCGAACCUAAUGGCCCAAAUCAAUUAAGCUUCCUUACCUUAAGUCUUGGAAGGAAAAUCCUGAGGUGAGAUUUCUAUAAGUAACUUAGGUGGUUACAACAGUCUGAAGAGAUGGCGACUCGAGACCUCUGGUAAACUGACUCCUGCCGCACUUUAGGACUGGACUGUAACUAUGAUGUAACUGAACUGACACUAAUUCAGAUUUUCACCCUCAGAACAUUUUGCUUUGGAUGUGAGUCGAACCUCUGAUGGAGACAGCAGUGAUGUGUCACUCCAACCCAGAGCCGGCCCGAGCCUUGAAGGGGCCCUAAGCGAAAUUUGAUUUGGGGGCCCCCCUCAUACCACUUCAUUGUGUCCUGAGCCUAACAGUUAUUAAUACGGAAAGGUUGAAACUGAAUAUUCAUUUUUUGGGAUGCAUCGCUGUUUCAGUCUCAGCCCAUUGAAAAACAAUGUAUUUCAAUAUGAUACACAUUGUAAAACUAUGUCCAUGACAUAAUUGAUUGCAUUCAAUAUCCGUUCUAGAGGGCAUAGACUUUUUAGGAAGUAUGUAAUUUAGGGUGUUUGACCUGCUUUUGGGCAUGUUGGACAUGCUCUUUUCAUCCAAAAGAUGUAUAUUUGUCAUUAACUGUGCAAAUGCACCCAAUUACAGACUAGUAAAUAUGCCAUUUGUAAUAUAUAAAUAAUAACUAUGCAGCAUACAGAAUUGCGGAGCAUCAAUAGAAUAAUAUCAAACACAAGUGGUCAACGAUUGGGCCCAGUACUGUAAAUGUUAUUACGCUACUAUACCACA